ACUCUAAGCGGUGGAUCACUCGGCUCAUGGGUCGAUGAAGAACGCAGCAAACUGUGCGUCAUCGUGUGAACUGCAGGACACAUGAACAUCGACAUUUUGAACGCAUAUCGCAGUCCAUGCUGUUAUGUACUUUAAUUAAUUUUAUAGUGCUGCUUGGACUACAUAUGGUUGAGGGUUGUAAGACUAUGCUAAUUAAGUUGCUUAUAAAUUUUUAUAAGCAUAUGGUAUAUUAUUGGAUAAAUAUAAUAAUUUUUAUUCAUAAUAUUAAAAAAUAAAUGAAAAACAUUAUCUCACAUUUGAAUGUGAAAAACGAAGAGAAAUAUUUUCUUUUUCAAUCAAAUAAUACUGAGAAAUGUCUAGCAUAAAAAAUUGAAAUAUUUUUCAUCUAGAAUUGUCUCUUAUUAAUGAUUCGGAAAUAGAAAAAUCUUGGUUAUGUUAUUAUUCUUCGUUGGUUCGUUAAAAAUGGAUAAAUAAAAACUUUGCAUACAAGAAUUAAUAAAAAUGUUAUAACGAAUUUAAUUAAAUGUUUUAUCAUUAUAUAUAAAGAAUUUAUGGCAAGAUAAAGUUAUAUACAACCUCAACUCAUAUGGGACUACCCCCUGAAUUUAAGCAUAUUAAUUAGGGGAGGAAAAGAAACUAACAAGGAUUUUCUUAGUAGCGGCGAGCGAAAAGAAAACAGUUCAGCACUAAGUCACUUUGUCUAUAUGGCAAAUGUGAGAUGCAGUGUAUGGAGCGUCAAUAUUCUAGUAUGAGAAAUUAACGAUUUAAGUCCUUCUUAAAUGAGGCCAUUUACCCAUAGAGGGUGCCAGGCCCGUAUAACGUUAAUGAUUACUAGAUGAUGUUUCCAAAGAGUCGUGUUGCUUGAUAGUGCAGCACUAAGUGGGUGGUAAACUCCAUCUAAAACUAAAUAUAACCAUGAGACCGAUAGUAAACAAGUACCGUGAGGGAAAGUUGAAAAGAACUCUGAAUAGAGAGUUAAACAGUACGUGAAACUGCUUAGAGGUUAAGCCCGAUGAACCUGAAUAUCCGUUAUGGAAAAUUCAUCAUUAAAAUUGUAAUAUUUAAAUAAUAUUAUGAGAAUAGUGUGCAUUUUUUCCAUAUAAGGACAUUGUAAUCUAUUAGCAUAUACCAAAUUUAUCAUAAAAUAUAACUUAUAGUUUAUUCCAAUUAAAUUGCUUGCAUUUUAACACAGAAUAAAUGUUAUUAAUUUGAUAAAGUGCUGAUAGAUUUAUAUGAUUACAGUGCGUUAAUUUUUCGGAAUUAUAUAAUGGCAUAAUUAUCAUUGAUUUUUGUGUUUAUUAUAUGCACUUGUAUGAUUAACAAUGCGAAAGAUUCAGGAUACCUUCGGGACCCGUCUUGAAACACGGACCAAGGAGUCUAACAUAUGUGCAAGUUAUUGGGAUAUAAACCUAAUAGCGUAAUUAACUUGACUAAUAAUGGGAUUAGUUUUUUAGCUAUUUAUAGCUAAUUAACACAAUCCCGGGGCGUUCUAUAUAGUUAUGUAUAAUGUAUAUUUAUAUUAUUUAUGCCUCUAACUGGAACGUACCUUGAGCAUAUAUGCUGUGACCCGAAAGAUGGUGAACUAUACUUGAUCAGGUUGAAGUCAGGGGAAACCCUGAUGGAAGACCGAAACAGUUCUGACGUGCAAAUCGAUUGUCAGAAUUGAGUAUAGGGGCGAAAGACCAAUCGAACCAUCUAGUAGCUGGUUCCUUCCGAAGUUUCCCUCAGGAUAGCUGGUGCAUUUUAAUAUUAUAUAAAAUAAUCUUAUCUGGUAAAGCGAAUGAUUAGAGGCCUUAGGGUCGAAACGAUCUUAACCUAUUCUCAAACUUUAAAUGGGUAAGAACCUUAACUUUCUUGAUAUGAAGUUCAAGGUUAUGAUAUAAUGUGCCCAGUGGGCCACUUUUGGUAAGCAGAACUGGCGCUGUGGGAUGAACCAAACGUAAUGUUACGGUGCCCAAAUUAACAACUCAUGCAGAUACCAUGAAAGGCGUUGGUUGCUUAAAACAGCAGGACGGUGAUCAUGGAAGUCGAAAUCCGCUAAGGAGUGUGUAACAACUCACCUGCCGAAGCAACUAGCCUUAAAAUGGAUGGCGCUUAAGUUGUAUACCUAUACAUUACCGCUAAAGUAGAUGAUUUAUAUUACUUGUGAUAUAAAUUUUGAAACUUUAGUGAGUAGGAAGGUACAAUGGUAUGCGUAGAAGUGUUUGGCGUAAGCCUGCAUGGAGCUGCCAUUGGUACAGAUCUUGGUGGUAGUAGCAAAUAAUCGAAUGAGACCUUGGAGGACUGAAGUGGAGAAGGGUUUCGUGUGAACAGUGGUUGAUCACGAGUUAGUCGGUCCUAAGUUCAAGGCGAAAGCCGAAAAUUUUCAAGUAAAACAAAAAUGCCUAACUAUAUAAACAAAGCGAAUUAUAAUACACUUGAAUAAUUUUGAACGAAAGGGAAUACGGUUCCAAUUCCGUAACCUGUUGAGUAUCCGUUUGUUAUUAAAUAUGGGCCUCGUGCUCAUCCUGGCAACAGGAACGACCAUAAAGAAGCCGUCGAGAGAUAUCGGAAGAGUUUUCUUUUCUGUUUUAUAGCCGUACUACCAUGGAAGUCUUUCGCAGAGAGAUAUGGUAGAUGGGCUAGAAGAGCAUGACAUAUACUGUUGUGUCGAUAUUUUCUCCUCGGACCUUGAAAAUUUAUGGUGGGGACACGCAAACUUCUCAACAGGCCGUACCAAUAUCCGCAGCUGGUCUCCAAGGUGAAGAGUCUCUAGUCGAUAGAAUAAUGUAGGUAAGGGAAGUCGGCAAAUUAGAUCCGUAACUUCGGGAUAAGGAUUGGCUCUGAAGAUUGAGAUAGUCGGGCUUGAUUGGGAAACAAUAACAUGGUUUAUGUGCUCGUUCUGGGUAAAUAGAGUUUCUAGCAUUUAUGUUAGUUACUUGUUCCCCGGAUAGUUUAGUUACGUAGCCAAUUGUGGAACUUUCUUGCUAAAAUUUUUAAGAAUACUAUUUGGGUUAAACCAAUUAGUUCUUAUUAAUUAUAACGAUUAUCAAUUAACAAUCAAUUCAGAACUGGCACGGACUUGGGGAAUCCGACUGUCUAAUUAAAACAAAGCAUUGUGAUGGCCCUAGCGGGUGUUGACACAAUGUGAUUUCUGCCCAGUGCUCUGAAUGUCAAAGCUAAGACAGAGGGGCGAUUAUAAGGAGAAAAUAGAGCAGAUAAGAGGGCAAUCAGCUCUCGCCCCGGAAGUUGCUAAUCUAACCAUAAGGCGCCGCCCUAGUAGAAGUGAGCAAGACCACCAAGUAACAACAUCGGAAACAACUCCAAUCACUCCCUUCGAACAGUCGAACAGGGAAAUUUUGCGGACACUACGCGGGUAUAGCCCCGUAGAAUGCCAUUCCAAAUGGAGAGCCCAAGAGUUGCAAACUAUCAUUGAUAGGGCACAUCUCGAGGGAAAGGAAACCACUCUCCAAUGCUUAUCGCUAUAU
RNAcentral lists this ribosomal RNA (3467 nucleotides) under Drosophila melanogaster (fruit fly). RNAcentral describes it as "eukaryotic LSU rRNA". The stretch from base 573 to 3467 matches the Rfam family "Eukaryotic large subunit ribosomal RNA", at positions 1 to 2231 of the family's 3401-position model. Lineage: Eukaryota; Metazoa; Arthropoda; Insecta; Diptera; Drosophilidae. The record is from RNAcentral.